AAUAGAUACCCGGGUAGUCCACGCCGUAAACGAUGUCGACUUGGAGGUUGUUCCCUUGAGGAGUGGCUUCCGGAGCUAACGCGUUAAGUCGACCGCCUGGGGAGUACGGCCGCAAGGUUAAAACUCAAAUGAAUUGACGGGGGCCCGCACAAGCGGUGGAGCAUGUGGUUUAAUUCGAUGCAACGCGAAGAACCUUACCUACUCUUGACAUCCACGGAACUUUUCAGAGAUGAAUUGGUGCCUUCGGGAACCGUGAGACAGGUGCUGCAUGGCUGUCGUCAGCUCGUGUUGUGAAAUGUUGGGUUAAGUCCCGCAACGAGCGCAACCCUUAUCCUUUGUUGCCAGCGGUCCGGCCGGGAACUCAAAGGAGACUGCCAGUGAUAAACUGGAGGAAGGUGGGGAUGACGUCAAGUCAUCAUGGCCCUUACGAGUAGGGCUACACACGUGCUACAAUGGCGCAUACAAAGAGAAGCGACCUCGCGAGGGCAAGCGGACCUCAUAAAGUGCGUCGUAGUCCGGAUUGGAGUCUGCAACUCGACUCC
Molecule: ribosomal RNA, 542 nt
Filed under: uncultured bacterium
Lineage: Bacteria
Description: bacterial SSU rRNA
Rfam family: Bacterial small subunit ribosomal RNA
Source: RNAcentral